RNAcentral lists this ribosomal RNA (122 nucleotides) under Oryza glaberrima (African rice). RNAcentral describes it as "rRNA SSU_rRNA_eukarya". The stretch from base 1 to 83 matches the Rfam family "Bacterial small subunit ribosomal RNA", at positions 755 to 869 of the family's 1533-position model. Lineage: Eukaryota; Viridiplantae; Streptophyta; Magnoliopsida; Poales; Poaceae. The record is from RNAcentral.
GAAAGCAUGGGGAGCGAACAGGAUUAGAUACCCUGGUAGUCCAUGCCGUAAACGAUGAGUGUUCGGCAAGAAGUUUCGCACUCUAACUCGAAACGGAUUUUGCGCAUUUAAAGCCCUUGCUU